This 6816-nucleotide long non-coding RNA is filed under the name Brassica rapa (field mustard). RNAcentral describes it as "long non-coding RNA (BRAP_LNC003533)". The record is from RNAcentral. Lineage: Eukaryota; Viridiplantae; Streptophyta; Magnoliopsida; Brassicales; Brassicaceae.
GUCCGGGAAUGACAAAACCUUCAGGUUGUUUCAUGUAAAUUUCCUCUUCUAAAUCACCAUUUAGAAAAGCAGUUUUUACAUCCAUUUGAUGGAUUUCUAAGUCUCUUAAGGCUGCGAUAGCUAUCAUCAGUCUUAUUGAUGUUAUUCUCGUCACUGGAGAAUAUGUAUCAAAAUAGUCAAGGCCUUCCUUUUGUCGGAAUCCUUGAACUACAAGCCUAGACUUGUAUUUUCCACCAGGUUUUCGUGUUAUUAUCCAUUUAUUCCCUAAUGCUUUGCAGCCAGGUGGUAAAUUCGUUAUGUAAUAAGUAUAAUUUUGCAUGAUCGAAUCAAACUCACUUCUGACAGCUUCAUUCCAAAAUGGAGCUUCUGGUGAAGCCAUGGCUUCUGCCAACGUUUUUGGAAUAUUUUCUACUAAAAAUGCCAUUAGGAAAUCUUCUCCAAAAGAUUUUUCUUUCCAAGCUCUUUUGCUCCUUCGAGGUUCAUCUUUUUCUCCAUUUUCUGAAAUAUCAUUUAUAGAAAUCUCGACGUUUGUCUCAGUUUCUGAGUUUUUGUCAUUGUCUCUUUCUUCUUGAGUUCGUUUUGAACCUUGUUUUUCCUUAUAUGGAAAAAUAUUUUCGAAGAAAGAUGCAUUUCUUGAUUCCAUGACUGUAUUUUCAUGAAUGUCUGAUAUUUCAGAUUUAUGUACCAGAAAACGAUAAGCAUUACUGUUAUGUGCAUAUCCGAUGAAGAUGCAAUCCACUGUUUUAGGUCCAAUAGUGACCUUCUUUGGUGGCGGCACCGCAACUUUUGCCAGGCACCCCCACACUUUGAGGUAUUUAUACGAAGGUAAAUUAGCUUUCCAUAAUUCAUCUGGAGUUUUGCCAGUUACUUUGUGUGGAAUCUUGUUGAGGAUAUAAUUAGUGGUAAGCAACGCUUCCCCCACAUGUUCUGGGGUAACCCAGAUUCCUGCAACAUAGCAUUCAUCAUCUCUUUUAGAGUUCGAUUUUUGCGUUCAGCAACUCCAUUAGAUUCUUGUGAGUAAGGAGCUGUAGUUUGAUGGAUUAUUCCAUGUUCUUUACAGAAUGCAUUGAACGGACCAUCAUACUCGCCUCCUCUGUCGCUUCUAACUACUUUAAUAGUUGUUUUAAGCUGAUUCUCGACCUCGAGUUUAAAUUCUUUAAAUUUUUCCAAGGUUUCAUCUUUGCUAUGUAAUAUAUAAACAUAACAAUAUUUUGUGCAGUCAUCUAUGAAGGUCACAAAGUACUUUUUACCACCUCUAGUUUGUAAGUAUUUUAAAUCACAUAAAUCAGUGUGAAUUAAAUCUAGAGGUUUAUUAGUUCUUUCAACACGAGGUGAUGGCGUUUUUGUGAGCUUAGCCUGUACGCAUACUUCACAUUUUUGUUUACUUGUUUUGCAUUUAGGAAUUAGAUUUAAAUUCAUUAAUCUUUGUAUAGACUUGUAGUUUACAUGGCCUAAUCUUUCAUGCCAUAUAUUAAAAGACUCAACCAAAUAAGCAACUGGCUCAUUCUUAUUCAUUGAAACUUUUGGAGCUACAACUUUUGGAGUGACUGUCAUUACAUUCAACUUGACAAGUCCACCCUUAACAUAUCCCCUUCCCAAAUACAUCCCAUUCUUCCUAAUCACGAGCUUAUCUGCCUCAAAGCUUGUGGCGAAUCCAUUCUUGCUGAGCAAGGUUCCCGAGACCAGGUUCUUCCUCAUGUCUGGCACAUGCUUCACAUUUGUCAGAGUGACCUCACGUCCAGAUGUCAUCUUCAAGAUCACAUUGCCGCGUCCUUCAAUCUUGGAGACUGCAGUGUUUCCCAUCUUGAGCUUCUCCUCAGUCUUGCUUUUCUGAUAGGUGCUGAACAUCACCCUAUCGGUGCAAAUGUGGGUGGUUGCACCAGUGUUAUACCACCAUUCCUUGGGGUUGUUGCUUUCAACUAUAUUUGCUUCAGUCACCACAGCAACGAGAUCCUCCUCAGUGAGAUUUGCCUGAUCCUUCUCAUCUUUGAUCUUUUUGCGACACUCAACUGUUUUGUGCCCCACUUUGUGGCAGUAGUGACAUUUCCCCUUGAACUUCUCCACAUUCGCAUUGAUCUCAAUACCUUUGUGCUUGAAGAUUUUUCAAGGCUGCAGCAGUUUUGGAAGGCUUGGCCGGAGAAUAGGCGUGGGCCUUUCCUUUGCCUUUGUGCUCAGCCAUGUUGACACUGUGCUCCUUUGUACCGACCUUUGCAGCAGUUCGGUUUCUGGAUUCCAUCUGAAGCCUCGUGAUGAGCUCAUCGAGCCCCAUCUUCUUCUUCUUGUGCUUCAAGUAGUUCUUGAAAUCCGCAUAGCUUGGAGGAAGCUUUUCAAUGAAGCUGGGAGUUGUGAAUGUCUCGCAGAUGGACAUUCCUUCAGCAGCGAUUUCAUGGCAAAUGAGCUGAAUCGCUUCCACCUGAUCCAUGAUGGGUUUUGAAUCCACCAUUUUGAAGUCGUGGAAUUUUGAGACCACAUACUUCUGGCAGCCAGCGUCCUCACCUCUGUACUUCUUGUCUAGUGAUCUCCAUAGCUCUUUCGCCGUGGGGAUCUCACAGUAGACACGGUACAAUGGGUCAAUGAGGCGACCCAAAAUGUAGCCUUUGAAGAUGAAGUCGGAAUGCACCCAUAUGUCAACAGUUGCGAGGCUGUGAACAUCAUCAAUCCCGUAAGGCAUAAGGGGCUUGUCCUCCUGGAGGAACUUCUCCAGCUUCAUCGUUGCCAGGAAGAACAACAUCUUCUUCUGCCACAUUUUGAAGCCUUUGCCAUCAAAUUGGUUUGGCAUCAGUCCUUGAGUGAACACACUAGGGACAGUCGGAGGAGUUUGAACUGCCACCGGACCACUUGCAGUUGCUGAAAUUGAACCCGUCUGAUAAAGACCAGCACCAAAUAGGGUACGGCGAGUGGUUUAAUCAGCAGCAUUCCCCGCAGGGAGGAAAGUGCUCGUUGUUGCUGCAGUGGUUGACGCUGUGAUGUUUCCAGCGGUUGUCACGCCAGUUGAUGCAGCGUUGAGUGGAGUCUGAAUGACAUCCGAGGUGUCCAUGGGAGUGGGGGUGUCGUUCUCGUUUGUCAUUUUCCUGUAGAGAAAACAUGAAAACGGAUUAGUACUCCAUUCAACAAUUAACAUAUUAUUUUAAAGAAAAUAAUAGUCUAAAAUCGAUGUUCAUUUUUGGUGUUUGAACCAAAUCAUAUCGAUAUAAGUCUUGAAAAAACGUUUUGCAAACUCGCUUAGAAGCGUUUCGCAGAAACCAUUUUUAUAGACUUAGAAUGUUUCACAGACUCGCUUAAGAAAGCGGUCACUGAAACGAUUCAUAUAUAUAACGUUUGAAGAAAUGUAUCAAAAAACGUUUUGCGAAAAUGCUAGAAAGCAAUCCGCAAAGCGUAAUGAAGUAAAACUGAAACGUUUCGCGGAAGUGCUCUAAGGCAAAUCGCAAACACAUUUAGCCAGAAACGUUUCGCGGAUAAGCGUAUAGCAAAUCGCAAACAUCGUUUUGAUAUAAGAACAAACGUUUCGCGGAAGUGCUAGAAAGCAAAUUGCAAACACGGUUCCGAAACCCGUUUCUAUUAAUCGUUUAUCAACCCGAUUAAAGCUUUAAACAUAAAGCGAUUUUGAGUUAAGAUUGUAGAAGCCGGUAAACCGGACUGAUGUAAACGAUAUAAUAAAAGCGAAGUUAAGGAAAUAGACGAAUAUUUAAAACGAAUACGAGAACGAUAAGAAAUCGUAUUCGCAACGAGACAUGGAGGCGAGAUAUGAUCUCUUUCCUUAACUCAAAAUAUUUGCUCCGUUAGUGAGACGGGACUGUACGAAUAUAGAGUCCCAGGAUACAACCAUGGCAGACGAAUCACGCCUCACUCGUGAUCGCCCUAUCGAACUAUAAACUCUACGAAACACUCUCGUUUUUAUGACUUACGCUAAGGGAAUUUUGAUGCUGGUUUCGAUGUGAAAAAGUUGAAGAAAAUAAGAAGAGGAGAGUCCGUAUUUAAAGAGAAGACUAGGAGCGGUUUUUCGAAACUGUUGCGAACGUUUUUUCCGAAAAUCUCGCAAAGAUCUCGGAGUGGAACGUUGAGCAGCUUUCUCCGCAAGUUUCUCUCUUGUUGACUCGUUCUGAUCCAUUUCGAACAGAUAAAUUUCGUGUUAUUUUUAAAUGAACUACAUGUCGUUUAUACACAAAUGUCAUGCUGUUUUUUAGAAAUAAAAUGGCAAAGCGUUGAGCUUAACUUGGUCCAAAAAAAAUAAUUCUUAUCGGGCCAAAGGCCCUCCACCCAAGCCCAAGCCCAAGCCCAAGCCCACGCCCACGCCGAGCCGAGCCGAGCCGGCCGGACGGCGGCGGCGGCGCGCGCGUGGGGAGCUCUCUCUUCCUCUGAGCCGUUUAAUCCAAGGAGAGUGUGAUACCAUAUAUAUACAUCACAACUUCUCAAGUUUUAAUCGAUGUGGGACUCUCUUAUUUCCUUUCAUUAAUGCCAACAUGACUUUUUUCAAAGAGCUCGUAAGCCCAUUUUCUUUUUACAUUUGCCUUUCAUUAUUUGAGCUAAUAAGCUUAGUAAUUAGGCCCAACAAUCUCCCACAUGAAUAGAAAUGACUCUAAACAUAUGCAGACUAGAUGCAGACUCGAUAGGCUCUAAAAAACUAUACUUAUUCUAAUCCUGACUAGACUAGACAGACUUAUCGAGAGUGUUUGCGAAAAAUUCACUGUGUUUGAGUUGGUGGCAUUUUUAAGCUUUGAACCACUCAUAGUUAAUAUCUGUCGGGUUUACUUUACCAGAAGGUGAACAUGAUGUCUUGAACCAACCGGUGUUUUAUGUAAACCGAAACAACAUGCAUAACGCAGCUUCAUUUUCUCGUAGAACUUAGUUCUCUAUUGUGUUCAUUGUGGCCCUGAACUAUUCAUGGUUUUCAUGAGUGAACUUAGAGAAUAUAGCCUUGCAUUCAUUCUCCUAGAAACGGCCUCAUUUCACACUCAUUAGGUGAUUGGCCAUGCUUAUCCUUCUCACAUUUGUUAGCACUUUUAUCAUCUUAAGAGCUGGGAAGAAACUACUUGUCUCAAGUGCUUUGGUUAGAUUCUGUUUGAUUUUGGUUUCCCUUUGAACCUACGUCUUGGGAUCUCCAGUCAUGAUAGGUUGGGUUGCAAUCAAGCAUCCUCAUUCGUUAUAGGCUUUAAACCCAUUCCUUUUGAUGAUUUAGCAACAACAUCUCGUGACAAACCUUUGGUAAAUGGAUCCGCUAGGUUGUCAGCCGAUUUGAUGUAGUCUAUUGUAAUUACACCAGUUGAGAUAAGUUGUCUAAUGGUUUUAUGUCGUCUUCUGAUGUGACGAGAUUUACCAUUGUAGAUUAUUCUGAGCCCGAGCUAUUGCUGAUUGACUAUCACAAUGUAUGCGUAUAGCUGGCACAGGUUUCUCCCACAUAGGAAUAUCUUCCAAAAAAAUUCUAAGCCAUUCAGCUUCUUCUGCUGCUUUAUCUAAAGCUAUGAACUCAAAUUCCAUGGUAGAUCUGGCUAACACUGUUUGUUUGGUAGAUUUUCAUGAUAUUGCUGCUCCUCCUAGUGUAAAGACAUAUCCACUCGUGGAUUUUGAGUUUUUAGAAUCUGAUAUCCAGUUAGCAUCACUGUAUCCUUCCAAAACUGCUGGUUCUUUACCAUAGUGAAGCCCAAAAUCUUUGGUGUAGCGCAAGUAAUUGAGUACCGUCGUUAUAGCUUUCCAGUGUGUAUGACCUGGAUUACUAGUAUAUCGACUAAGUACGUUUACUGCAUGCGCCAGAUCCGGUCUAGUACAAUUUGUCAAGUACAUGAGACUUCCGAUCACACGUGCAUACUCGUUUUGUGAAACCGCCUCACCUGAAUUCUUCGUCAAGUGCAUUUGGGGAUCUAACGGAGUUUUUACCGUACUAUUAGAGUAAUUUUUAAAUCUCUCUAAUAUUGUUUGAGCAUAAUGAGAUUGGGUUAAGAUAAUUCCGUUUGAAUUUCUUGUGACUUUAACCCCGAGAAUUACAUCUACUAAUCCCAAGUCUUUCAUCUCAAAUGUCCCUUUGAGCAUAUUUUUUGUUUGAUUGAUAAUGUCUUUAUUGCUUCCAAUAAUGAGCAUAUCAUCUACAUAUAAGCAUAGCAAAACAUACGCAUUUUUGGUAGUUUUGUAGUAUAUGCAUUUGUCACAUUCAUUUAUUUUGAAACCAUUUGACAUUAUUGUGUUGUCAAAUUUUUCGUGCCAUUGUUUAGGAGCUUGUUUAAGCCCAUAAAGUGACUUUACAAGUCGACAUACUCUGUUUUCCUGUCCGGGAAUGACAAAACCUUCAGGUUGUUUCAUGUAAAUUUCUUCUUCUAAAUCACCAUUUAGAAAAGCAGUUUUUACAUCCAUUUGAUGGAUUUCUAAGUCUCUUAAGGCUGCGAUAGCUAUCAUCAGUCUUAUUGAUGUUAUUCUCGUCACUGGAGAAUAUGUAUCAAAAUAGUCAAGGCCUUCCUUUUGUCGGAAUCCUUGAACUACAAGCCUAGACUUGUAUUUUCCACCAGGUUUUCGUGUCAUUAUCCAUUUAUUCCCUAAUGCUUUGCAGCCAGGUGGUAAAUCCGUUAUGUAAUAAGUAUAAUUUUGCAUGAUCGAAUCAAACUCACUUCUGACAGCUUCAUUCCAAAAUGGAGCUUCUGGUGAAGCCAUGGCUUCUGCCAACGUUUUUGGAACAUUUUCUACUAAAAAUGCCAUUAGGAAAUCUUCUCCAAAAGAUUUUUCUUUCCGAGCUCUUUUGCUCCUUCGAGGUUCAUCUUUUUCUCCAUUUUCUGAAAUAUCAUUUAUAGAAAUCUCGACGUUUGUCUCUGUUUCUGAGUUUUUGUCAUUGUC